UACGUAGGGUCCGAGCGUUGUCCGGAGUUACUGGGCGUAAAGCGCGCGCAGGCGGCCGAUCAAGUCUGGCGUGAAAGCCCCCGGCUCAACCGGGGAGGGUCGUUGGAGACUGGUUGGCUUGAGGGCGGUAGGGGCUGGUGGAAUUCCCGGUGUAGUGGUGAAAUGCGUAGAGACCGGGAGGAACACCCGUGGCGAAGGCGGCCAGCUGGGCCGACCCUGACGCUGAGGCGCGAAGGCGUGGGGAGCGAACGGG
RNAcentral lists this ribosomal RNA (253 nucleotides) under uncultured bacterium. RNAcentral's name for it is "partial 16S ribosomal RNA". It matches the Rfam family "Bacterial small subunit ribosomal RNA", at positions 524 to 776 of the family's 1533-position model. The record is from RNAcentral.